AUACUUUUGAAGCUGUUUUCCCCUUCUUGCAGAUGAAGAGGCUGAGCUCUGAGGCUGUUAAAUAAUGUGCCCGAGUGAACACGGCUGGGCCAUGGUGAGAAGUCAGAAACAAAUGGAAAAUGGAACCAAUGGGAAGGAAAUCACUGACCCUGGAGUUUGUUUUGCUGUGAGAAAGACCAUUGACAUGUUAACAAUCAUCUCAAAGCUGAUGGUAUGCCACCUGGAGAGUCAUCAGAGGAACAGUCUAUCAUGCAAAGGGCCAGAAGAGACCUCAUGACUAUCAUCCUACAUAGAAGAACCCAAACCAGAAGGAACAGCAUGAGCCAAUGCAGCCAUUCAAUACAAUGAGUCUCCGAACUUGAUUUCCAACCCAAGUUAUCACUGGAAUAAAAUGUUGCUCACCACCA
Molecule: long non-coding RNA, 407 nt
Filed under: Felis catus (domestic cat)
Lineage: Eukaryota; Metazoa; Chordata; Mammalia; Carnivora; Felidae
Description: lncRNA (ENSFCAG00000049809.1)
Source: RNAcentral